Molecule: ribosomal RNA, 497 nt
Filed under: uncultured bacterium
Lineage: Bacteria
Description: partial 16S ribosomal RNA
Rfam family: Bacterial small subunit ribosomal RNA
Source: RNAcentral
GAUGAACGCUGGCGGCGUGCCUAAUACAUGCAAGUCGAGCGAACAGAUAAGGAGCUUGCUCCUUUGACGUUAGCGGCGGACGGGUGAGUAACACGUGGAUAACCUACCUAUAAGACUGGGAUAACUUCGGGAAACCGGAGCUAAUACCGGAUAACAUAUUGAACCGCAUGGUUCAAUAGUGAAAGGCGGCUUUGCUGUCACUUAUAGAUGGAUCCGCGCCGUAUUAGCUAGUUGGUAAGGUAACGGCUUACCAAGGCAACGAUACGUAGCCGACCUGAGAGGGUGAUCGGCCACACUGGAACUGAGACACGGUCCAGACUCCUACGGGAGGCAGCAGUAGGGAAUAUUCCGCAAUGGGCGAAAGCCUGAUGGAGCCACGCCGCGUGAGUGAUGAAGGUCUUCGGAUCGUAAAACUCUGUUAUCAGGGAAGAACAAAUGUGUAAGUAACUGUGCACAUCUUGACGGUACCUGAUCAGAAAGCCACGGCUAACUACGUG